RNAcentral lists this unclassified non-coding RNA (300 nucleotides) under uncultured fungus. Its description in RNAcentral is "sequence contains ITS1". The stretch from base 1 to 105 matches the Rfam family "5.8S ribosomal RNA", at positions 50 to 154 of the family's 154-position model. Lineage: Eukaryota; Fungi. The record is from RNAcentral.
GAAAUGCGAUAAGUAGUGUGAAUUGCAGAAUUCAGUGAAUCAUCGAAUCUUUGAACGCACAUUGCGCCCUUUGGUAUUCCAAAGGGCAUGCCUGUUCGAGCGUCAUUUGUACCCUCAAGCUCUGCUUGGUGUUGGGCGUCUUUGUCUUCCCAGAAGACUCGCCUUAAAGUCAUUGGCAGCCGGCCUACUGGUUUCGGAGCGCAGCACAAGUCGCGCUCUCUUCCAGCCAAGGUCAGCGUCCACAAAGCCUUUUUUUCAACUUUUGACCUCGGAUCAGGUAGGGAUACCCGCUGAACUUAA